AACAUGCCCUUUGGUCUGGAAUAACUCAGGGAAACUUGAGCUAAUACCGGAUAAGCCCGAGAGGGGAAAGAUUUAUCGCCGAAGGAUUGGCCCGCGUCCGAUUAGCUAGUUGGUGAGGUAAUGGCUCACCAAGGCGACGAUCGGUAGCUGGUCUGAGAGGAUGAUCAGCCACAUUGGGACUGAGACACGGCCCAUACUCCUACGGGAGGCAGCAGUGGGGAAUAUUGGACAAUGGGCGCAAGCCUGAUCCAGCCAUGCCGCGUGAGUGAUGAAGGCCCUAGGGUUGUAAAGCUCUUUCGCCAGGGACGAUAAUGACGGUACCUGGAUAAGAAGCCCCGGCUAACUUCGUGCCAGCAGCCGCGGUAAUACGAAGGGGGCUAGCGUUGUUCGGAAUCACUGGGCGUAAAGCGCACGUAGGCGGAUCUUUAAGUCAGAGGUGAAAUCCCAGGGCUCAACCUGGAACUGCCUUUGAUACUGGGGAUCUCGAGUCCGGGAGAGGUGAGUGGAACUGCGACUGUAGAGGUGAACUUCGUAGAUAUUCGCAAGAACACCAGUGCGAAGCGGCUCACUGG
RNAcentral lists this ribosomal RNA (572 nucleotides) under uncultured Alphaproteobacteria bacterium. Its description in RNAcentral is "bacterial SSU rRNA". It matches the Rfam family "Bacterial small subunit ribosomal RNA", at positions 123 to 732 of the family's 1533-position model. The record is from RNAcentral. Lineage: Bacteria; Pseudomonadati; Pseudomonadota; Alphaproteobacteria.